CAGACGUCUGUAAUGGAGGUGGAUCUCUCCUGGGCACACAUUCAGCCCGGCCCGCACAACUUGCCCAAACCUUUACAUCUGAUGCAUUGAGGCUGAAAUUUGAGUGGAAUCCCCUUUGCUUUGAUGCACGAGGUGUCGGGAGAUGCCUGGACUGGCAGCAACAUGACUGGUUGGGACAAGAUUUCUCAUGCACUCCAACUUAACCUCUCUGCAGUGGGCAACAUAUUUCAUUGCAGAGGAAAACAAAUACCUGCAUGGAGAGGUCAUCGGGUUAAAGCACAGCACUGAGAAGCGAAAGCC
Molecule: long non-coding RNA, 300 nt
Organism: Condylura cristata (star-nosed mole)
Lineage: Eukaryota; Metazoa; Chordata; Mammalia; Eulipotyphla; Talpidae
Exons: 3
Source: RefSeq, a predicted model, not a curated record